This 1415-nucleotide ribosomal RNA is filed under the name Propeamussium sp. mt1. Its description in RNAcentral is "16S ribosomal RNA". It matches the Rfam family "Bacterial large subunit ribosomal RNA". The record is from RNAcentral. Lineage: Eukaryota; Metazoa; Mollusca; Bivalvia; Pectinida; Propeamussiidae.
AGAAAGAUAUUGGGUAAUCUGAGCAAAUUUUUUUAUAAAAUGAAUUGAGAAAGAUGAAUAAAUCAUUUUUGUGACCCAGUAUCGGUGAGAGAAAAGUCUGUUUUAGCGAUAGAGAACAGUAACGUGAGUGAAUGAAUGUAAUCACUUUUGAAGCAUAGAUUAGUCCUUGUACCUUUUGCAUCAUGGUCUAGUAACUUUCUACUCUAAGGGGGUAUCCCGAUGACUUAAUGAGCUAUUUUCUGACUUAGGGUUGGUGUUGAAUAACUAUCCUUAGAUGGGAAAAUAGAGGUGAUAUGCCUUACGCAUUGGUAGAUAGCUGGUUGGCCCAGAAAUAUAUCUAAGUAUAGUUCACCCUCAGCAAGAUUUAAAAUAGGGUUUUGGAGUGAGUACAGCUUUUCCAGGCUAAGCUGGAGGGGCUUAAUUUAAGGAUAGUUUAUUUGGAUUUGGCGGACUAAAGUGGGUUUAAGUUAGCCAUCUUUUGGAGUUUGUUAAUAAUCAGGUGCCCGCGAACAUAAAAAUUUUUUUUGAUUCCUUUAAUUUUAUGGGCCCAUCCCAUAUAAUUAUUUUUAUGGGAGAGUUAAUGCUAGGAUGAGUAGCUGUUUAUUAGAGUUUUGAGGUUGUUUUCGAGGGAUAGGUUCUAUAAAUUACCAUUAUAGCAGGUUAAGCAAAGUUAAAUGAAUUCGGCAAAUAAAAAAAUCGACUGUUUAUCAAAUACAUAGCCUUCUGAUCAUACACGGAAGGUGGGGCCUUCCCGGUGAGUUGCUGACUUAAACGGACGCUUUAAUCGGCUUAAAGUAACGAUAACUCUUGAUUGGAGUUUCAGUGAAAGGCUUUACGAAUUUUUUUCUGUAUCUAGCUUGUUGUAGUAAAAUUGAACUGAAAGUGCAAAUGCUUUCAUUACAUAGGAGGGCGAGAAGACCCCGUGAAGUUUUUAGUUUACCGCAGAGUGAGAGGAAGUAGAAAAUGCUCUUGUUUAGAGAUAUUGUCUACAUAUCUGGAGGCUUAGUGGGUAGGCUUUGGCUGGGGCAGCAGAGGAGCAGUUUAGACUCCUUACUAGAUUAUUUAGGUAUAUGUAGAUCCACCGCACAUGAUUUUGGUGAUUAGCAGAAGAAGUUACUCCGGGGAUAACAGCGUAAUUCCUCUAGAGAGUUCUUAUUGGUAGAGGGGUUUGCGACCUCGAUGUUGACUUAAGGCAUCCUGGAGUUUGCAGAAGGCUCCAAGGGUUGGUUCGUUCGCCCAUUAAAGCCUUACACGAGUUGAGUUCAGACCGGCGAAAGCUAGGUCGGUUUCUAUCCUCUUUGUAAAAGUAAAAGUAGCGUGUACGCAAGGAUAGUUACUUUCGGGGGUUAUCCCGGCAAAAACGGAUUAACCGAUAAUAUAGGGUUAAGUGUGCAAGUAACGCAGAUAGAGCGUGU